AUUCACACACAGGUUCUCUAAAGUGGCUUGUGUGGCUCGGAGCACUGUGAACUCCACUAUUGUGUGCAUGGCUCUUUAGCCUUUGGCGCAGGUCGAGUGUUUGUUCCUGAGACUUUUAGCAACUGACUUCUCCAUCCAAGGAUAACAUAUUUAGACUGUAUGUGCAUGACAAAGUAUUAAGCUCCUUUAGACAGCAAAUUUUUAAACAAGAGAUUUAUUUGAAUGCUCUUGGAUGUCAUUCUUCUAUUGACGUUGUUCCUAUAAAAUGCCAUAGAGGAUCAUCCUGGGACGCUGGCCCACUCUGAGCCCGCAUACCAGGAAGUGCUCCUAUGCCAGGGAGGGAUAAGAAGCAUUUUCUUUCUGACAGACUUUUGACAUUGUGCCUUUGCCUCCCUGUUGGCACCACACACACACACAUGCACAUGCACACCCACACAUACUCCAAGGUAGGUAGGUGGAGGGUCACUCAGAAAAAUCAGCAUAGAACACAACGUAAAACUGCUACCAGAGAAAGAAACAGAUUGCACCUGCCUGGGUUGAACAUGAAGAAGAGACGUAGAAACACAUGAUACAGAACAUAUUGUUCAUGAGGCAGAGCACGUUUUUAAUUGCUUGAGUUUCAUCUUAGGGUCAAUGAAGGAAAAGAUAAAGGAGGAAGAGGACAGAGAGUGUGGACCGGGAGGAAACAGGCAGAAAGUGGAAUGAAAAAAAAAAAAUAACGAGGACAAAGAGAGGAAGAGGAAGGAGAAAGAAAAAGUAACGUCACAUCAGCGGCUCCUGGGUUCUGAGGUGCGAUCGCUGGUCGUAGGUCAGCCGCUUUAGUCACAUCCUGUUAUUCACUUUGGGCAUCAGAGUACAUAGUCACUACCCUUUGAAAUUUCCAUACUCUCUACAGUGAUUGUGGGGCACUCUUUCUUUACUGGGAAACUGUUUAUCCGCUCUUAUUUUCAAUCUUUAAGCUUUUUUUUUUUUUUCAGGUUUCUUUUUUUCCUAUGAAGACCAGAAUGUUUUGAAAUGGGUAAAAUAACACAUUUGGUCUUGACUCUUUCCAUUUUAGUCUCAAUCUUGGGCCACUUUAACAAUUCCCAGACGUAGAAGAAUGGCUUCUUGAUAUAAGAAUAGAAAUAUAACAUUUAAAAAUAUUCAUAAUGAUUAUUAUCUUGUUUUGCUGUGUUCUGUCAUUCGUAAGGGGCACGUUUUGGUUCACCAGAGCUGUGCUUUAGUCUGGGCUGUUCAUUUGACUAAACCACGGUCUCGUGCCUGUCUAGUUUGUGUGAGGGGUUACUGAAGCCGGGGGUACCCCAUUAUGGAUCUGGCACAAAGGAGACAGAAAUGAGUCAGUUCUUCCCUCCAACUUCCUUCCAAUGCCACUAACCCCCAAGUAAAAAAAAAAAUACAUAAAGAACUCUUCCUGUCUUUUAAUUUCCAUUGAUCACACUGAAUGGCAUAAUCACAUUAGCUCAUAGAGCACAAAAUCAUUUCCCAGCUCUGGCUCUGUGAACCCUGGGCUCAGGGCAACGUGAAUUUGGUUCUCUGUGUAAUUUUACCCGGAUUCUGCUCCUAAAAGGAGACUGAUGUCAAACUCCCACUUUGCAGAAUCCUAUAUGACCAGGUCAAGGUGCAGCCACUGGAGAUGAAGGCCUCCUGGGAUCCAGACCAUUCAUGGAACUCAAUCAAGGAUUUCAGUAGUACCUGAGAUGAAAAUAUCACUUUUAUCCACUUAGGGCCUAUUUCUCAUUCCCUUCAGGAAGAGAUUUAUAUCUGUAUAAAGCUUCAAAUAGAGUGAUUAAUUAGAGGCAUUGUGUGACUUCAAAGAAGCCAAGAAAAUUAGAAUAAUUCCAAGUAAUACUGUUUUCUGCAGACAAAGCCCAGAGAAUCUUGAAUCUUAGCCCUGGAAAUAACAUAGACGUCAUUUAGCCUAAUCACUUACCCCGCACAGAGACUGCCUUGAUUCUAGAUCUGAUAGCUCUUCCUGGGAACGUAGAAUGACCUAACACGUAUUGCCUUUCAAGGCAGCUCUAUGUGUCAUGAGAGAGCUCUGGUCAUUUAGAAAUCAGCCUUUAUAAGGAGCUGUUUGUCUGCCUCUCUGUGCUGCCCACCUCUCACUCUUAAUUCCGGGUAAGAGAUUUCUGCUAAUUUUUCUUCCUUGAGGUGGCCUUUGGUCUUCGGAACAACCGUCACACCACUCUAAGCAUGUUCUUCCUUCGGUUUGAGUUUCCAGUUUCAGAACCCUUUCUCUCAUGAAAUAUUUCUGGAUUCCUCAACAUCCCUGUUCCUAUUAAAACUGUUUAUCUACCUUGGGCACACCUUAACUAUGCCGGGAAAACAGUGAACCGAUUGUCUCCUGUAAGACAGUAUUUUAACUGUGGAGGUCAAAGUUUAUGUUGGAUUUUGUUUUGUUGCUUUUUAAAAUUUCACUUUUAUUUUUAUAAAACCUACACCACUACUUACAAUAAGUUUAUGGGAUCAAACCCAUGCCAUAGUAGUGAUGUGGGACCCAGCAGUGACAUCACCACGUCUUUAACCCAUUGAGCCACCAGGGAAUUCCUGUAGUACUUUUUUUUUUUUUUUUUAAGAAUUUUUUAAAACCCUGAACUUACCAGACCUUACUAGCCCAUGGCAACAAAUGAGGUUAUGUUAGCUUUAAAAAUUUUAAAUUCAUUAGCUUUUCCAGCAUUUGCUGUAGUAGUUCUCUAUGCGUUCCAUCUAAUUAUUUUAGGGAGUCCCCCAGGGUGUCUCAAAAGAACAAGUCCCCUCUUGAAGGCACUUCUCCUCUACCAGGCCAAGCAGCAAUUUGCAGUCCCCAAGGCUCAGCGUGUCCUGCUGCUACCCAGCAAGUCAGGUGAACAACCAUAAAGCCAUACUUCUACUUUACAGCUGCUCCACUGAUAUUAAACUUUCUCCUUUUGUUCCUGAUAUUGCACAGGAUUACAUGUAAUAUCUCCUGACUUACAGUUCUCUGCUCUCACCAGUGCCCAAAGAUCUGUCCCUAGGAAUGCAGUCACAUUAACAAGUCCAAUGUUCCUUUCCAAUGGCUCUCCCAUCUGAGAGCUGAGGCGUGUUAUUGGGCUAAGCUCCUGGUGCCCAAUGCCUUCUAUUGUACAAGGAGCUCUCUAUAAGGAAACCACUAAAUCCUCUGCAAAUAGAUCUUUCAGACCCUGUCUUUUUUUCUUUUUGAAAGGAAUAUUGUACUCUCAACAUUUUUAACGGAUCACUAAAGAUUCCUCAAACUUGGCAUUUUUAAUUCCUCCAUAAUAUCCAUUUUAUGGAUAUAACAUGCUAGAACAUAUUUGUCCAUUUUUCCAUUGCUCAGAAUAUUAGGUUUUAUAUGUGGAUAGCUUAUUAUUUUUAGCAAAUAUUAUAUUUUACCUUAUUCUUAUUAGACUAGUCAGCUUAUUAUUUAGCAUUUGUAGAUAAUUUCAUACCUUAAUUACAUCAUUCAAUAUAUUAGUAUCAUUUCCAGCUUUUGGCUUUAGAUAUGCAUGUUUAAGAUGAAUCUAUGACUUCUUUAUCAUCACACCAAUUUUAGUUGCUUAUAGACCAAGAGCUUAUGUUUCAGCCUACAGAGCUUCCCUAGCCCUUGAAGUGAAAUCUCUGUGUAAAAGAGAGACAUAAAUAUGCAGAGUAUAUCAAAAUCUUGGUUGUAAUUUCAAAUGUCAAUGAAUAUUAAUAUCAGCUGCUAACUAAUAUAUUUCUUUGUAAUCACUUCAAGCCCUCCUCAUUAAAAAUGCAUCAUAUAAAAUGAAUUAUGGAAUUAAAAGGACCUGCAGUAUGGUCUAGUUCAAAGACUUAAUUUCUUUCUUUGAGGGGAUUUUUAUUUUUUCCAUUAUAGUCGGUUUACAGUGUUCUAUCAAUUUCUACUGCACAGCAAAGUGAUCCAGUCACACACACACACAUAUAUAUACAUUCUUUUUCUCAAAUUAGCCUCCAUCAUGUUCCAUCACAAGUGACUAGAUAUAGUUCCAUGUGCUAUACAGCAGGAUCUCAUUGCUUAUCCAUUCCAAAUGCAAUAGUUUACAUCUAUUAACCCCAGACCCCCAGUCCAUCCCACUUCCUCCCCCUUGGUAAUCACAAGUCUGUUCUCCAAGUCCAUGCUUCCCUCCCCCCACUGUGGAGUGUUUCAUUUGUGCCCUAUAUUAGAUUCCAGAUAUAUGCGAUAUCAUAUGGUAUUUGUCUUUCUCUUCCUAACUUACUACACUUAAUAUGGAAGUCUCUAGUUUCAUCCAUGUUGCUGCAAAUGGCAUUAUUUUGUUCUUUUUUAUGGCUGAAUAGUAUUCCAUUGUGCAUAUAUACCACAUCUUAAUCCAUUCAUCUGUUGGUGGACAUUUAGGUUGUUUCCAUGUCUUGGCUAUUGUGAAUAGUGCUGCAAUGAACAUAUGGGUGCAUGUAUCUUUUUCAAGGAAAGCUUCAUCCAGAUAUAUGUCCAUGAGUGGGAUUGCUGGGUCAUAUGGUAGUUCUAUAUUUAGUUUCCAGAGGUACCUCCAUACUGUUUUCCAUAGUGGUUUUACCUAUUUACAUUCCCACCAGCAGCAUGGAAGGGUACCCUUUUCUGUACACUCUCUAGCAUUUAUUUGUUGACUUGUUAAUGAUAGCCGUUCUGGCUGGUGUGAGGUGAUACCUCAUAGUAGUUUUGAUUUGCAUUUCUCAAAUUAUUAGUGAUGUUGAGUAUUUUUUGGCCAUCUGUGUAUCUUCUUUGGAGAAAUGUCUCCUCAGGUCUUUUGCCCAUUUUUCAAUUGGGUUGUUGAUUUUUUGCUGUUGAGUUGUAUAAGUUGUUUGUAUAUUUGAGAGAUUAAGCCCUUGUCAUUUGCAUUGUUUGAAACUAUUUUCUCCCAUUCCAUAGGUUGUCUUUUUGUUUUUUUUAUGAUUUCAUUUGCUGUGCAAAAAGCUUGUCAAAGACCUAAUUUCAACAAGUCAUUUAUCAUACCCCUUCUAUAUCCUAAAGGCAAUACAAACAUUGGGGAUAAAAUGACCCUAUGCUGGUUAUGUGGGUGAUAAAUGAGUGAAUAGAAGUGAUAUAAGAUAUGAAAAGAGAAGUAAGUAAUACUGAAGCCACACCUUUAAAACAAAAAUCAGCAAGUAACCGAAUAUGUGGAGCUAAUAGACAGGAAAGGACAUGGUGUGUCUGGCACUGAAUUUCUCUAGCUACAGCCCUGAAGUACCUGCACACAAUACACUCUCUGGUACCCUUAGAUGAAGCUGCAAAAAGAUGUGAGCCUGGGAGUUCCCAUCAUGGCUCAGUGGAAACGAAUCUGACUAGGAAUCCACGAGGAUACUAGUUCAGGUUCAAUCCUUGGUCUUGCUCAGUGGGUUAAAGAUCCGACGUUUCCAUGAGCUGAGAUUUGGCUUGGAUCCAGUGUUGCUGUGGCUGUGGUGUAGAUCAGCAGCCACAGCUCUAAUUUGACCCCUAGCCUGGGAACCUCCAUAUGCC
RNAcentral lists this long non-coding RNA (5428 nucleotides) under Sus scrofa (pig). RNAcentral's name for it is "lncRNA (ENSSSCG00065020293.1)". The record is from RNAcentral. Lineage: Eukaryota; Metazoa; Chordata; Mammalia; Artiodactyla; Suidae.